RNAcentral lists this ribosomal RNA (431 nucleotides) under uncultured bacterium. Its description in RNAcentral is "bacterial SSU rRNA". It matches the Rfam family "Bacterial small subunit ribosomal RNA", at positions 28 to 505 of the family's 1533-position model. The record is from RNAcentral.
GAUGAACGCUGGCGGUGUGGAUAAGGCAUGCAAGUCGAGCGAGGCUUCGAGCCGAGCGGCAAACGAGCUAGUAACACAUUGGUACUUACCCCAAAGUCAGGCACAACUCGCCGAAAGGCGAGCUAAUUCCUGAUAGUCUCUUACGAGUAAAGCUUUCGCGCUUUGGGAGAGGCCUAUGUCCUAUCAGCUAGUUGGUGAGGUAAUGGCUUACCAAGGCUAUGACGGGUAGGGGGUGUGAGAGCAUGACCCCCAGCGAUGGAACUGAGACACGGUCCAUACUCCUACGGGAGGCCGCAGUCGAGAAUAUUCCGCAAUGGGCGAAAGCCUGACGGAGCGACACCGCGUGAAGGAUGAAGCCCUUAGGGGUGUAAACUUCUUUUGUAUGGGAGGAAGUAUGACUGUACCAUACGAAUAAGAGGUUGCUAACUCUG